RNAcentral lists this ribosomal RNA (419 nucleotides) under uncultured bacterium. RNAcentral's name for it is "bacterial SSU rRNA". It matches the Rfam family "Bacterial small subunit ribosomal RNA", at positions 355 to 791 of the family's 1533-position model. The record is from RNAcentral.
UGGGGAAUAUUGCACAAUGGGGGAAACCCUGAUGCAGCGACGCCGCGUGGAGGAAGAAGGUCUUCGGAUUGUAAACUCCUGUUGUUGAGGAAGAUAAUGACGGUACUCAACAAGGAAGUGACGGCUAACUACGUGCCAGCAGCCGCGGUAAAACGUAGGUCACAAGCGUUGUCCGGAAUUACUGGGUGUAAAGGGAGCGCAGGCGGGAGAACAAGUUGGAAGUGAAAUCCAUGGGCUCAACCCAUGAACUGCUUUCAAAACUGUUUUUCUUGAGUAGUGCAGAGGUAGGCGGAAUUCCCGGUGUAGCGGUGGAAUGCGUAGAUAUCGGGAGGAACACCAGUGGCGAAGGCGGCCUACUGGGCACCAACUGACGCUGAGGCUCGAAAGUGUGGGUAGCAAACAGGAUUAGAUACCCUGGU